UGAACCUGCGNNNNNAUCAUNACACAAUAACCAGGCGGGCUGGACACCCCCCGCUGGGCACUGCUUCACGGCGUGCGCGGCGGGGCCGGCCCUGCUGAAUUAUUCACCCGUGUCUUUUGCGUACUUCUUGUUUCCUGGGUGGGCUCGCCCGCCCUCAGGACCAACCACAAACCUUUUGCAAUAGCAAUCAGCGUCAGUAACAACGUAAUUAAUUACAACUUUCAACAACGGAUCUCUUGGUUCUGGCAUCGAUGAAGAACGCAGCGAAAUGCGAUACGUAGUGUGAAUUGCAGAAUUCAGUGAAUCAUCGAAUCUUUGAACGCACAUUGCGCCCUUUGGUAUUCCAAAGGGCAUGCCUGUUCGAGCGUCAUUUGUACCCUCAAGCUUUGCUUGGUGUUGGGCGUCUUUUGACUCCAGUUCGCUGGAGACUCGCCUUAAAGUCAUUGGCAGCCGGCCUACUGGUUUCGGAGCGCAGCACAAGUCGCGCUCUUUGCCAGCCAAGGUCAGCGUCCAGCAAGCCUUUUUUUCAACCUUUGACCUCGGAUCAGGUAGGGAUACCCGCUGAACUUAAGCAUAUCA
Molecule: ribosomal RNA, 579 nt
Filed under: uncultured fungus
Lineage: Eukaryota; Fungi
Description: eukaryotic LSU rRNA
Rfam family: 5.8S ribosomal RNA (bases 217-370)
Source: RNAcentral